RNAcentral lists this ribosomal RNA (621 nucleotides) under uncultured bacterium. RNAcentral describes it as "bacterial SSU rRNA". It matches the Rfam family "Bacterial small subunit ribosomal RNA", at positions 8 to 627 of the family's 1533-position model. The record is from RNAcentral.
AGAGUUUGAUCCUGGCUCAGAACAAACGCUGGCGGCGUGCCUAACACAUGCAAGUCGUACGUGAAAGUCCCGCAAGGGACAAGUAAAGUGGCGACCGGGUGAGUAAUACAUAGGUAACCUACUUAUAAGUUGGGAAUAACAGUUCGAAAGGACUGCUAAUACCGAAUAUUAUAUUAUAACACAAGUUGUAAUAUCAAAGAUGGCCUCUUUACAAUGCUAUCGCUUAUAAAUGGGCUUAUGAACCAUUAGCUAGUUGGUGGAGUAAUAGCCUACCAAGGCAAUGAUGGUUAGCUGGUCUGAGAGGAUGAUCAGCCACACUGGAACUGAAACACGGUCCAGACUCCUACGGGAGGCAGCAGUGGGGAAUAUUGCGCAAUGGGGGAAACCCUGACGCAGCAACGCCGCGUGAGCGAUGAAGGCCUUCGGGUUGUAAAGCUCUGUCAGAUGGGAAGAGACCCCAUUACUCUAUACAGUUAUUGGAUUGACGGGUACCAUCAAAGGAAGCACCGGCUAACUCGUGCCAGCACCGCGGUAUACGGAGGUGCAAGCGUUGUUCGGAAUCACUGGCGUAAGGGCGCGUAGCGUAUAUAGUAGGUGUGAACUUCGGCUUACCGAAGUGCC